This 394-nucleotide ribosomal RNA is filed under the name uncultured bacterium. Its description in RNAcentral is "bacterial SSU rRNA". It matches the Rfam family "Bacterial small subunit ribosomal RNA", at positions 30 to 429 of the family's 1533-position model. The record is from RNAcentral.
AUUGAACGCUGGCGGCAUGCCUUACACAUGCAAGUCGAACGGUAACGGGCCUUCGGGUGCCGACGAGUGGCGAACGGGUGAGUAAUGUAUCGGAACGUACCUUUCAGUGGGGGAUAACGUAGCAAAAGUUACGCUAAUACCGCAUAUUCUGUGAGCAGGAAAGCAGGGGAUCGCAAGACCUUGCGCUGAUUGAGCGGCCGAUAUCAGAUUAGCUAGUUGGUGAGGUAAGGCUCACCAAGGCGACGAUCUGUAGCGGGUCUGAGAGGAUGAUCCGCCACACUGGAACUGAGACACGGUCCAGACUCCUACAGGAGGCAGCAGUGGGGAAUUUUGGACAAUGGGGGCAACCCUGAUCCAGCCAUGCCGCGUGAGUGAAGAAGGCCUCGGUUGUAAG